AUGCGUCGCUCCCGCCCCCCGGGCUCUUGCCCAAUUAGACAGGAGGGGCGGGGCCUCCGCUCUGCGCAGCCUCCGCUCUGUGCAGUCCCCGAGGGGAGGUGCGGCGUAGUCUUUCUCCGAAGUGCUGCGGGCUGGCAAGUCCAGCGUGGAGUGGGGGCUGUGCGUGGCCGUAAUGAAAAUGCUGAGUCAAAGCAUAUGGCAAUUUUUAUCACAGUCCUUGACACUGACUGCCAUAUUUCUUUCAAAAAAGGCUGUACCAAUUUCAGCACAAGCAUCAAGAUAUGGGUAUCAAUUUUACCUAAUCUUGUCAGCAUUUAAUAGAGAGAAACAGAGCAUGAGCAGGGGAGGGGCAGAGAGAGAGAGACACAGAAUCCGAAGCAGGCUCCAGGCUCCGAGCCGUCAGCACAGAGCCCGCAAGGGGCUCGAACUCACAAA
Long non-coding RNA from Neofelis nebulosa (Clouded leopard), 435 nucleotides. RefSeq lists it as uncharacterized. NCBI's taxonomy places the organism in Eukaryota, Metazoa, Chordata, Mammalia, Carnivora, Felidae. The record is from RefSeq and is a predicted model, not a curated record. The transcript has 3 exons.